UGGGGAAUUUUGGACAAUGGGCGAAAGCCUGAUCCAGCCAUGCCGCGUGAGUGAAGAAGGCCUUCGGGUUGUAAAGCUCUUUCAGCCGGAAAGAAAUCGCGCAGGCUAAUACUCUGCGUGGAUGACGGUACCGGAAGAAGAAGCCCCGGCUAACUACGUGCCAGCAGCCGCGGUAAUACGUAGGGUGCGAGCGUUAAUCGGAAUGACUGGGCGUAAAGCGUGCGCAGGCGGUUAUAUAAGACAGAUGUGAAAUCCCCGGGCUCAACCUGGGAACGGCGUUGGGGACUGGAUGACUAGAGUACGACAGAGGGAGGGGGAAUUCCGCGUGUAGCAGUGAAAUGCGUAGAUAUGCGGAGGAACACCGAUGGCGAAGGCAGCCUCCUGGGCCAGUACUGACGCUCAUGCACGAAAGCGUGGGGAGCAAACA
Molecule: ribosomal RNA, 427 nt
Filed under: uncultured prokaryote
Description: bacterial SSU rRNA
Rfam family: Bacterial small subunit ribosomal RNA
Source: RNAcentral